AGAGUUUGAUCCUGGCUCAGGAUGAACGCUGGCGGCGUGCCUAAUACAUGCAAGUCGAGCGAACCACUUCGGUGGGAAGCGGCGAACGGGUGAGUAACACGUAGGUGAUCUGCCCAUCAGACGGGGACAACGAUUGGAAACGAUCGCUAAUACCGGAUAGGACGAAAGUUUAAAGAUGCUCCUGGCAUCACUGAUGGAUGAGCCUGCGGCGCAUUAGCUAGUUGGUGGGGUAAAGGCCUACCAAGGCGACGAUGCGUAGCCGACCUGAGAGGGUGAACGGCCACACUGGGACUGAGACACGGCCCAGACUCCUACGGGAGGCAGCAGUAGGGAAUCUUCGGCAAUGGGCGAAAGCCUGACCGAGCAACGCCGCGUGAAUGAAGAAGGCCUUCGGGUUGUAAAAUUCUGUUAUAAGGGAAGAAAGGUGAUAGGAGGAAAUGACUAUCAAUUGACGGUACCUCAUGAGAAAGCCACGGCUAACUACGUG
This 487-nucleotide ribosomal RNA is filed under the name uncultured Turicibacter sp. RNAcentral describes it as "bacterial SSU rRNA". It matches the Rfam family "Bacterial small subunit ribosomal RNA", at positions 8 to 507 of the family's 1533-position model. The record is from RNAcentral. Lineage: Bacteria; Bacillati; Bacillota; Erysipelotrichia; Erysipelotrichales; Turicibacteraceae.